Molecule: ribosomal RNA, 612 nt
Filed under: Lacticaseibacillus rhamnosus
Lineage: Bacteria; Bacillati; Bacillota; Bacilli; Lactobacillales; Lactobacillaceae
Description: bacterial SSU rRNA
Rfam family: Bacterial small subunit ribosomal RNA
Source: RNAcentral
AGUCUGAUGGAGCAACGCCGCGUGAGUGAAGAAGGCUUUCGGGUCGUAAAACUCUGUUGUUGGAGAAGAAUGGUCGGCAGAGUAACUGUUGUCGGCGUGACGGUAUCCAACCAGAAAGCCACGGCUAACUACGUGCCAGCAGCCGCGGUAAUACGUAGGUGGCAAGCGUUAUCCGGAUUUAUUGGGCGUAAAGCGAGCGCAGGCGGUUUUUUAAGUCUGAUGUGAAAGCCCUCGGCUUAACCGAGGAAGUGCAUCGGAAACUGGGAAACUUGAGUGCAGAAGAGGACAGUGGAACUCCAUGUGUAGCGGUGAAAUGCGUAGAUAUAUGGAAGAACACCAGUGGCGAAGGCGGCUGUCUGGUCUGUAACUGACGCUGAGGCUCGAAAGCAUGGGUAGCGAACAGGAUUAGAUACCCUGGUAGUCCAUGCCGUAAACGAUGAAUACUAGGUGUUGGAGGGUUUCCGCCCUUCAGUGCCGCAGCUAACGCAUUAAGCAUUCCGCCUGGGGAUUACGACCGCAAGGUUGAAACUCAAAGGAAUUGACGGGGGCCCGCACAAGCGGUGGAGCAUGUGGUUUAAUUCGAAGCAACGCGAAGAACCUUACCAGGUCUUG